This 497-nucleotide ribosomal RNA is filed under the name uncultured bacterium. RNAcentral describes it as "partial 16S ribosomal RNA". It matches the Rfam family "Bacterial small subunit ribosomal RNA", at positions 28 to 507 of the family's 1533-position model. The record is from RNAcentral.
GAUGAACGCUGGCGGCGUGCCUAAUACAUGCAAGUCGAGCGAACAGGUAAUGAUCUUGUUCCGUUGACGUGAGCGGCGGGCGGGUGAGUAACACGUGUGUAACCUACCUAUAAGACUGGAAUAAUCCCGGGAAACCGGGGCAAAUGCCGGAUAACAUUUAGAACCGCAGGGUGCUAAAGAGAAAUAUGGUGUUGGUGUCACGAAUAGCUGGACCCGCGCCGUAUUAGCUGGUUGUUAAGGUAAAGGCUUUCCAAGGGAAGGAGGCGUAGCCGAGCUGAGAGGGGGAUCGCCCACAUGAGAACUUGACCACGGUCCAUACUCCUACGAGAGGCAGCAGUAGGGAAUGGUAGGCAGCGGGCGAAAGCAUGACGCAGCAACCCCGCGUGAGUGAUGACGGCCUUCGGAUCGUAAAACUCUGUUAUUAGGUAAGAACCACUGUGUAAGUAGACGAGGCCGUAUUGACGGUAACGAAUCAAAAAGCACCGGCUAACUACGUG